CCUACGGGAGGCUGCAGUGAGGAAUAUUGGUCAAUGGCCGGAAGCCUGAACCAGCCAUGCCGCGUGAAGGUCAGUGCCCUUUGGGCGUUAAACUUCUUUCGUGCGGGAGCAAUAAUGGUCACGUGUGGCCAGACUAGAUUAACGUUAGAAUAAGCAUCAGCUUAACCCGUGUCCGUAACCGCGGGAACAGCGGUGCUGCAGGCGGUAUCCGGAGUUUAUGGGUUUAAAGGGUGCGGAAGCUGGGGGGUAAGUCCACGUGUGAAUUCCCCUGGUUAAAGGGGUGAAGUGCAAUUGAUACUGGCUUGCUGGAGUGUGGUAGAGGUGGGAGGAAUUUGUGGUGUAGCGGUGAAAUGCGUAGAUAUCA
Molecule: ribosomal RNA, 364 nt
Filed under: uncultured bacterium
Lineage: Bacteria
Description: partial 16S ribosomal RNA
Rfam family: Bacterial small subunit ribosomal RNA
Source: RNAcentral